UUGAGUUAAUUUUCGCAAUUUGGCAAAUGCAAAAACCAAGAUUGCAGACGACAAAUUCAGCGAACGUCUUUUUUCUUUUUCAAUUUUUGAGAGUGAUAAAAAACUAGAAAUCAUAGAUAAAACAUCAAAAGGAAAUAGUUUGUGCACUUCACAACAGACAUGUGCUAUUCUGGCAGGUAUGUUUGCCUUCAUUUUGUGAACCUGAGUGUGAAUCAUUUUGCAGUGUACGAAGCUGGCAGAGGCAGACACAGACCUUGGUUUUUUCCUUGUCAGAGGCCAGGCUGAGGCCACGAUGGCCAAAUUAGAAUAAAACUUGGAAGAAAAUGAUGAAGGCAUCUUGCAGAGAGUUCUUGUCCAACAUCAUCCAUGUGAACAAGUCACCUGGUGGUUUAUCGUUGGUGAAGAACUUAAACACUCCAAUAGAGAAUCCAAUGAAACUGAAUCGUCAACCAAAUAUCAUCAAGUUUACUGUCUUGUUUAAGGCUUUUUCGAAAAACCAGAUGAUUUAAUUUAACCAUUACCCUGGUUACGUGACCGACAAAACGAUGGGAAGUAGAUCAUUAAAAUAAAAGCCAACGCGCGUCCCAUCGUCGAUCAUUGGCGCACAUUCAAUCGAGUCGCCGGAACAGAAAAUUUCGUAAAAAAAGAAGAAAAAAAAGACCAAA
Long non-coding RNA from Daphnia pulicaria, 665 nucleotides. RefSeq lists it as uncharacterized. The transcript is spliced from 3 exons. Lineage: Eukaryota; Metazoa; Arthropoda; Branchiopoda; Diplostraca; Daphniidae. The record is from RefSeq and is a predicted model, not a curated record.